ACAGUACUGUGCACCUCUCAGAAAACUUGCUCAAGAUCUUGUUAUUUAUAAUGGAGUAUUUUACUCAAAUAAACAAUCUGAAUACUUUUUAAAUGAAUACUUUUUGAUGAAGGCACCCAUGUUUUUGCAAUGACGCCACACAGCGGGCGACACCCAGACACCUCCUUCUUCCUGUGCUGAUGGCUGAGCGCGGCUUACGACGAACUGACAACAACCUGAGCGGAUACCUGGCGCUGAUGUCGGCUCUUUGUGAGGCUGCUUCAGAAAUACGUCUGCAGGACGAGAUGUAAAGGGAGAUAAACUGGAGGGGAAUGGAAGCACGUGUAGUUUGUUGUGAGUUAUGAGGAAAGACACAAGGUGUUGGUGGAGGAGCAGCAGACUGGAAAGAGAAGAGGACUUCAAGAAAAGUAGCAGGUGGAGAACCACAGGGACACAGGCAGAAGCAGCUCAGUCGCCUCUGGGACAAAGUAGAAGAGAAGCAGAGGAUGCCGGACAAACUCAGAACUGCUCGAUGAACAAAGAGACUAAAAGGGCCUGAGAGUGAUGAGUUGGAGCACAUGGAACAAACAUUUGACUGAAGCUCAAGAAGACCCAGCAUCAGAAGUCGAUGUCUUCUUCUACUGUUCUGUGUGUCUCCUAUACUCAUGUUUAAAGCGCUUUUUCAUUAAUUAUAAAUAAA
Molecule: long non-coding RNA, 679 nt
Organism: Epinephelus fuscoguttatus (brown-marbled grouper)
Lineage: Eukaryota; Metazoa; Chordata; Actinopteri; Perciformes; Serranidae
Exons: 5
Source: RefSeq, a predicted model, not a curated record